This 473-nucleotide ribosomal RNA is filed under the name uncultured bacterium. RNAcentral describes it as "partial 16S ribosomal RNA". It matches the Rfam family "Bacterial small subunit ribosomal RNA", at positions 28 to 507 of the family's 1533-position model. The record is from RNAcentral.
GAUAAACGCUGGCGGCGCACAUAAGACAUGCAAGUUGAACGGACUUAAUCGAAAUAUUUAUAUUUUGAAGCGGUUAGUGGCGGACUGGUGAGUAACGCGUAAGGAACCUGCCUAUUAGAGGGGAAUAACAGUGGGAAAUCAUUGCUAAUACCGCAUAUGCCAUAGAUAUCACAUGAUAACAGUGGGAAAGGAGCAAUCCGCUAAUAGAUGGCCUUGCGUCUGAUUAGAUAGUUGGUGGGGUAACGGCCUACCAAGUCGACGAUCAGUAGCCGGACUGAGAGGUUGAACGGCCACAUUGGGACUGAGAUACGGCCCAGACUCCUACGGGAGGCAGCAGUCGGGAAUAUUGCGCAAUGGAGGAAACUCUGACGCAGGGACGCCGCGUAUAGGAAGAAGGUUUUCGGAUUGUAAACUAUUGUCGUUAGGGAAGAGAAAGGACAGUACCUAAGGAGGAAGCUCCGGCUAACUACGUG